CUGGACAGAGACCCUCAGACACACAGGUGCUUGGGUAGGAAGCCAUCAGUGCCCCCAAAAAUUGUCCAGCAAAGACACAGAUGAGGUUGGGGCUAGGCUGAGUGCCUUUGGGCAUGUGUUGACAUACAGCUUUUUUGGGUUUUAUUUCAGGUGAAAUGAACUCUUAGGAAACCACUGAUGGAUUCAUCAAGAAGCCCUAAACCUUGGAAAAGCCAAGAGACCAGAGGUCUCACCUUAAAGGUAUCUGGUCCUUCGACCUCACCGUGACCCAGUUUCUUCAGGAGAACAUUCCAGAAGCAGAGCAAGGGGCUGCGAACGGUGUGCAAUGCUUCCUGAACCACCUCAUGGCCCUCCAUCCACUUCGUCUGGGUCAUGCUGGCUCUGCGGCCAUGGCAUUUCAGCGUCUCGUCUUCAUCUUCAUCCUAUUUGUAACCAUGGGGCACAUGCUGUAUUUUUUUUUUUUUAAUGCAAGAAAGUGUAAGAUUAGAAACGCCCAUGUUCAGAAGACAGCAAAGAAGGGAGCUUUAACCUGACAGAGAUGGAACAGAGGAGAUCAGAAAGAAUAGACAAUAAUGGCCACUCAUCCUGCUUCCAGUAUGAAGAUUCCCCUACAUCUAGCAUGGACAGAAGUGUUGACAGAGGGAGGAGUUUUGGCAGAACAACAGAAGUCAAGUACGGCAAUGGCAAAGAAAAAGCCAACUACUAAGCCUGUCUGUCUACCACAUUACUUUAUUGGCUUCCAAAUAAACCCAAUCCUAGGGGACAAAAGAUGUGAAUCCAUAUCAGAAGAGAGAGGCAGUUCUGGAUUCCUGAGGUAUUCAUUGAAGACUGAGUAAGUGUGGAGUUUCCAUCGUGGCUCAGUGGUAAUGAAUCCAACUAGUAUCCAUGAGGACCCAAAUUCGAUCUCUGCCCUCACUCAGUGGAUUAAGGAUCCAGUGUUGCUAUGAGCAGUGGUGUAAGGUUGCAGAUGCAGCUCGGAUCUUGCAUAGGCCAGCAGCUGCAGCUCUUUAUUGGACUCCUGCAUGUGCUACAGGUGCAGCUCUAAAAAGCAAAACCAAAACCAAAAAAAGAGAGACUGAGUAGGUGGUCCCUGUGUCAACUGGAAAGUCAACCUCCUUACCCCCCACAGUCAAGGUCAGCCAAGGCCCCUUUAAUCUUCUUCUUUCAUGUGUGCAACCAUCAAGAAUGGGCCAGGACCCAGUGGUUCCCUUAGAUUCCUUUGAGACAUUGGGGGUAUUCCCCUUCCAGUGGCCCUCCUUAGGGCAGCUGCAUGCUGAUUGGCUUUGAGCCCUUCUGUUCACGUUAGGUGGUGGGGGUUGAAUGACCCUGAAUCACUGAGACCAGAAUACUGGCAGAUCAGGCCGCUUGUCCAUCUUCCUUGGCAUCCACCUCCAGAUCCCAGUUGUUGAAUACUGGAAACACUAACUCCACCCCUGGGAAGUAGGUGUGGUGGGUUUUAUCUCCAACUUCUAUAAUUUUCUCCCAAUGUCUGGGGUGCUCUGGGAAGUGAAAUGGGACUUAAGAAUGGUCUGCCCUUCCACUGGCUCCAGGUGGCUCUUGUUCGUGUACACACAAAGGCACUCCCUUAGGCAUUCUAGGAAAGCCAAGGGGUUUCCUGCAGACCCUUGAUGACUCCCUAAACCCUACUCCAAUUUAUGGGUUUCUUCCCAGCCCACUGCAUGCCAUUAAGGAUCACAUCCCUGAAAUGUGUGAGAUGCUGCUGACCAUGUUCCUCUCAACGGUCCCAACCCAGGGUCCAGGUCAGGAACAGCCCAGAUUCAAGGCUGGCAUAGAGCAUGUCCUGCAUUAUUUUGAUUGGCCUUAUCAGCUUCCUCC
This 1836-nucleotide long non-coding RNA is filed under the name Sus scrofa (pig). RNAcentral's name for it is "lncRNA (ENSSSCG00070006702.1)". Lineage: Eukaryota; Metazoa; Chordata; Mammalia; Artiodactyla; Suidae. The record is from RNAcentral.